This 67-nucleotide microRNA precursor is filed under the name Bombyx mori (domestic silkworm). RNAcentral's name for it is "mir-2774 microRNA precursor family". It matches the Rfam family "mir-2774 microRNA precursor family". The record is from Rfam by way of RNAcentral. Lineage: Eukaryota; Metazoa; Arthropoda; Insecta; Lepidoptera; Bombycidae.
ACAACAUUCGGAGCGGUGGUCUACCGAGCAAUUUAACCAGCUCGGUCUAAGAUCUUCCCUUUGUCGU